RNAcentral lists this ribosomal RNA (1073 nucleotides) under Salmonella enterica subsp. enterica serovar Stanley. Its description in RNAcentral is "bacterial SSU rRNA". It matches the Rfam family "Bacterial small subunit ribosomal RNA", at positions 67 to 1129 of the family's 1533-position model. The record is from RNAcentral. Lineage: Bacteria; Pseudomonadati; Pseudomonadota; Gammaproteobacteria; Enterobacterales; Enterobacteriaceae.
CGGUAACAGGAAGCAGCUUGCUGCUUCGCUGACGAGUGGCGGACGGGUGAGUAAUGUCUGGGAAACUGCCUGAUGGAGGGGGAUAACUACUGGAAACGGUGGCUAAUACCGCAUAACGUCGCAAGACCAAAGAGGGGGACCUUCGGGCCUCUUGCCAUCAGAUGUGCCCAGAUGGGAUUAGCUUGUUGGUGAGGUAACGGCUCACCAAGGCGACGAUCCCUAGCUGGUCUGAGAGGAUGACCAGCCACACUGGAACUGAGACACGGUCCAGACUCCUACGGGAGGCAGCAGUGGGGAAUAUUGCACAAUGGGCGCAAGCCUGAUGCAGCCAUGCCGCGUGUAUGAAGAAGGCCUUCGGGUUGUAAAGUACUUUCAGCGGGGAGGAAGGUGUUGUGGUUAAUAACCGCAGCAAUUGACGUUACCCGCAGAAGAAGCACCGGCUAACUCCGUGCCAGCAGCCGCGGUAAUACGGAGGGUGCAAGCGUUAAUCGGAAUUACUGGGCGUAAAGCGCACGCAGGCGGUCUGUCAAGUCGGAUGUGAAAUCCCCGGGCUCAACCUGGGAACUGCAUUCGAAACUGGCAGGCUUGAGUCUUGUAGAGGGGGGUAGAAUUCCAGGUGUAGCGGUGAAAUGCGUAGAGAUCUGGAGGAAUACCGGUGGCGAAGGCGGCCCCCUGGACAAAGACUGACGCUCAGGUGCGAAAGCGUGGGGAGCAAACAGGAUUAGAUACCCUGGUAGUCCACGCCGUAAACGAUGUCUACUUGGAGGUUGUGCCCUUGAGGCGUGGCUUCCGGAGCUAACGCGUUAAGUAGACCGCCUGGGGAGUACGGCCGCAAGGUUAAAACUCAAAUGAAUUGACGGGGGCCCGCACAAGCGGUGGAGCAUGUGGUUUAAUUCGAUGCAACGCGAAGAACCUUACCUGGUCUUGACAUCCACAGAACUUUCCAGAGAUGGAUUGGUGCCUUCGGGAACUGUGAGACAGGUGCUGCAUGGCUGUCGUCAGCUCGUGUUGUGAAAUGUUGGGUUAAGUCCCGCAACGAGCGCAACCCUUAUCCUUUGUUGCCAGCGAUUAGG